AACGGAGAUAUUUGAUUGGCUCGUCAGCCAAUGGCGCUAGUCGAGGGUGCAACAUGUUCCGCUGUGAUCGCGGAAGUAUAGUUCGUGCUGAGAUUGAGUCAGGUCCUGCAGCUAUCUACCCGAUCGAGCUGUUCUCACAUCUACGCAGUUAUGGCAACCGCGGAGAGUGCCUUCAACCUUCAAGAACGUUACCGUGCAGCUAUGGUACUCAGUGGCACAGGAGAUGCUCUUGGGUAUUACAAUGGACGCUGGGAAUUUUGCUCUUCUGGCCUUACCAUAUUCAAUGAGGCAGAAGAAAUGGGUGGAGUUGAAAACAUUCAAGUGAAGCGUCCUAACUGGAUUGUAAGUGAUGACACAGUGAUGCACCUUGCUACUGGUGAAGCUCUUGGUGAGACUAGUGGGCAACCUGACCGUGAGAAACUUUUUUCAUCUUUGGCUUCGUACUACAAAUCAUGCAUGAAAGACAUGGCUGGACGAGCUCCAGGUGCUACAUGUAUGUCAGCAUCCCACAAGCUUCAACCACAUUUAAAAGAUGGCUAUCAUAUACCUUUUAAUCCAAGAGGGGGUGGAUGUGGGGCUGCCAUGAGGGCCAUGUGCAUUGGACUUCGCUAUCCAAGACCAGAUGAUCUAAAGGAUCUGGUGGCUGUGAGUGUGGAGUCUGGGCGCAUGACUCAUCAUCAUCCAACAGGAUACCUUGGGAGCUUGGCAUCUGCACUUUUUACAGCAUUGGCUAUGCAAGGUAGAGCUGUCAAAGAAUGGGGUAGAUGUUUGCUUGACACAUUGCCAUUAGCAUUAACCUACAUUAAAGAGACAGGUUAUGCUGUAGAAGAGAACAAGCAAGCAUGGUCAUACUUUUCUGAAAGGUGGACAGAGUAUUUAAAAGAGCGCAAUUUAGUGAAUGGGACAGCAGAUCCUGUGUUUCCUACAAAAUAUGGUUUUCCUGAAAGAGAUGCAUUCUAUAAAAAGCUCAGCUUUGCUGGCUGGGGAGGAAGCAGUGGCCAUGAUGCUCCUAUGAUUGCGUAUGAUGCUUUGCUUGGUGCUGGCUCCAACUGGAAGGAACUUGCUCACAGGUUUCUUUUGGGACAGGUCCAUGUUUCACGGUGGUGAUUCUGACAGUACAGGUGUCAUUGCCGCCUGUUGGUAUGGAGCUUUAUAUGGCUUUCAGGGAGUUCCAGAAGGCAAUCACAAGUUUGUUGAGUAUAGGGAUCGCCUUGUGAAAGUGGCUGACACUUUGUUAGAUCUAGCCAUGCCUUGUUAUGCACAAGGAAAAGCAUAAAAAACGAUGACAGGACCUCAACUGAGUUCUGCCAUGAUGUGUAAGGCAGUGCUGGAGACAAAACAUAAGCAUAAAGACUUACACAAUUAAACGAAGAUUAUAACUCUUUUCCCAUCAGUGAGCAUUAGGAAAAUCUUGGCUGUCUUUCAGUGUGAGUUCAGUUUACUUUUCACAGCUGAAUCACUUUCAAUUGGGCCUCACUAUAUGGUUGUAUACAUGUAUAGUAUAAGUAAUUAAAACAUUGCACCUCUGACCAGAAAGUUCACUUAAAUGAUUAAAUUAGCUCUGUGCUCUACAGUGUGUACUGGUACAACCAGCUGAAAACUGCAAUUUGUUUCCAUGUUUUAUAUUUCUAUAACUUUGUGUAAUUUCAUAACCUCAGGGUACAUGCUAAAAACUUCUAUUUUCUUGUAGAUGAGUAAUAUUGUUGUUGUUAAAUGAAAAUAAUCAGUAGAAUAACAUUUCUUUCACAAUUUGUCAUUAAAACCAAAAUGUAAUUUAUCUGCUAAAUUGAAGUUCAUUUUUAAAAGCAGAUACUUUUAUACGU
This 1823-nucleotide unclassified non-coding RNA is filed under the name Pomacea canaliculata. RNAcentral's name for it is "protein ADP-ribosylarginine hydrolase-like, transcript variant X3". Lineage: Eukaryota; Metazoa; Mollusca; Gastropoda; Architaenioglossa; Ampullariidae. The record is from RNAcentral.